This 376-nucleotide unclassified non-coding RNA is filed under the name soil metagenome. RNAcentral's name for it is "partial contains 5.8S ribosomal RNA, internal transcribed spacer 2, and large subunit ribosomal RNA". The stretch from base 1 to 120 matches the Rfam family "5.8S ribosomal RNA", at positions 35 to 154 of the family's 154-position model. The record is from RNAcentral.
GAUGAAGAACGUAGCGAAAUGCGAUAAGUAAUGUGAAUUGCAGAAUUCAGUGAAUCAUCGAAUCUUUGAACACAUCUUGCGCUCCUUGGUAUUCUGAGGAGCAUGCCUGUUUGAGUGUCAUUAAAUUCUCAACUACACUGACUUUGAAUUGGUGUGGCUUGGAUUUGGGGGGAAAAUUGUUGUGGGCUUUUUGUAUAGUCUGCUCCCCUGAAAUUGAUUAGCGGUACCUUUGUGGAACUGUCUACAGGUGUGAUAAUUAUCUACAUCUUAGACAUCUGCUGGAAUGCUGCUCUCUAAACCUUACUUGUAUUGACAAUCUUGACCUCAAAUCAGGUAGGACUACCCGCUGAACUUAAGCAUAUCAAUAAGCGGAGGA